GAUUAGAUACCCCACUAUGCCCAGCCGUAACACAACAAUCAAAUUACUAAUUGUUCGCCAAAUAACUACGAGUAAAAACUUAAAAUUUAAAAGACUUGACGGUACCUCACAACAACCUAGAGGAGCCUGUCCACUAACCGAUACUCCACGAUUAACCCAACCCAGACUAGCCAUACAGUCUAUAUACCGCCGUCGCCAGCUUACCUUAUGAAAGAAACAAAGUGAGCAAAACAGCCACACACUAACACGACAGGUCGAGGUGUAACUAAUGCCUGGGUCAAAGAUGGGCUACAUUUUCUAACAAAGAAAACACGAACAAAUUAUGAAACUAAAAACUGAAGGCGGAUUUAGCAGUAAGAUAGGGGUAAAAUACUUAACUGAAACUAAAGCAAUGAGGUGCGUACACACCGCCCGUCAUCCCUGUUAACCAACUCAUAACAAAAAUAUACCACUACAUAUCAAAGGUUUAAAGCAGGGCAAGUCGUAACAUGGUAAGCGUAC
RNAcentral lists this ribosomal RNA (501 nucleotides) under Dendrelaphis tristis. RNAcentral describes it as "partial 12S ribosomal RNA". It matches the Rfam family "Microsporidia small subunit ribosomal RNA", at positions 659 to 1288 of the family's 1311-position model. The record is from RNAcentral. Lineage: Eukaryota; Metazoa; Chordata; Lepidosauria; Squamata; Colubridae.